AGUCCUUGGCUUAGUGUAAGCACUGCUCUGCAGCAAUUAAAACAUCAGCAUGUUAUCAGCACUCUUCUCAUCUUAAUCCAAAACAUAGCACCCUGCCAGCUACUAGGAGGAAAAUUAACUCUGUUCUAACUGAAGCCAGGACAUAAACACAAUAAAGUGUUUUAA
Molecule: long non-coding RNA, 165 nt
Organism: Oxyura jamaicensis (ruddy duck)
Lineage: Eukaryota; Metazoa; Chordata; Aves; Anseriformes; Anatidae
Exons: 3
Source: RefSeq, a predicted model, not a curated record